This 2933-nucleotide long non-coding RNA is filed under the name Sus scrofa (pig). RNAcentral's name for it is "lncRNA (ENSSSCG00045000626.1)". The record is from RNAcentral. Lineage: Eukaryota; Metazoa; Chordata; Mammalia; Artiodactyla; Suidae.
AUGUUGAGCAAGCAAAUACGCAAGUCUAGAGCUGGAGGCAUAGCCUGUCUCAAAACCCUGCAGUCCUUGCUAAGCUCCGUUCCAUUUGCUCGCCACCCAGCCAGCAAGCCCUCCCCGCACCCCACCACCAUGUUGCAGUCCCCCUCUCUGUGUCUCUUGGUUCAAAUUUUGAAUGGGUCGGCUGACUUUGAAUCUGAUGCUUCCAUCUGUGGCCAGCGAGAGGAGGACUCUGCUUUUCCAACAUAGACGUCUGGACUCAGAAGAUCCUUGCGUCAGGCAUUUCCCGGGAAAAGGAACUAUUUUAUAGUAAAUGUCACCCUAGUGCAAAUUCUGUAGUUGCAAAAGUAGCAAAGGAGAAAGUCCAUGGUUUCCUGAUAAGCCUUUCCUGAGAAUAAACUUUAGGUAUGAUGAUGAGCUAAACAUUAAAUAAAUAGGAAUCAAAUACACCGGAAUGAAAGCAGUGAGGUUAAAAAAGGGGGGGAAGAAAAGAGGAUCGAAAUGAAAAGGAAAGAAAAGAAAAUGUAGAAAACAAGAGGGAAAGAACAGAGUUCACCAAAUGAAACGUUUCCUUGAGAAUGUGUGUGUGUGUCUGAGGCCAGUAGAUCAGUAGGGAAAGAAUGAAUCGGGGUUUUAGAGAAACAAAAAUGCAAAAAGGGGGGAAAGGGGUUAUGUGUUGGAUUAUAGCCAGUUUUCCAGCUCCAGACAUCUGGAGCCAAGACAGGGAAAGGUGAGGAGAUGUCCUUUGCAGCAGCUCUUGCCUCCAUGGGGGCUGGUUACUCGGGAUAUUUACAUUAAAUUAACGUGGCUGGCUGCGGCUGUGUCCAGCGCUUGGAUACGCGGUUAAAUAAUCAGUGUGGUUUGGCCGCUGGUUUCUUUACUGUGGUUGAAUAAUUGGUGUUGUCUCCGUUGCUAGCUACUUUAAAAAUGGAUAUGUGCACUUGUUUCUCUUUUUUUCUUUCUCUUGAGCAAUUUUGACAAGCCCUGGGCAGAAAAGUGGCUGACCUGCUUAUAAAGGGAUGCUUUUUCUCCUUGUCAUUUGUGCUUCCCCCAGAUAUUCUUCAAGGCUUUGAGAAUUGUAGACUUUUCCGCCUGGAAUCUAGAUGAAGCGCUCUACUUAGGAAGGAAUUCAGUCCACCCCUCUUGUUUGUAGCAGCAAAGAGAUAAGGCUGAGCCUAAGGGCAUCUGUAGUUCUCCAAAACUGGCCCCCAUUUCUUUUCUUUCCUUUUUUAUUUUUUUGCUUUUUAGGCUGCAUAUUCGUCAUAUGGAGGUUCCCAGGCUAGGGGUUGAGUCAGCGCUGCAGCCAGCCUACGCCACAGCCACAGCAACACGGGAUCCAAGGCACAUCUUCAACCUACACCACAGCUCAUGGCAAUGCCAGAUCCUUAAGCCAAUGAAUGAGGCCAGAGAUCGAACCCAGAUCCUCAUGGAUACUAGUUGGGUUCUUAACCUGCUGAGCCACAACGGGAACUCCCAUUUUGUUGCUUUUUAAAAACAAUUGCCAAAUUACCACAAGCCGUCUUGCCCUGAGAAAUAUUCUUCUCUCCAAACGGCUCUGUCUCUUACGUCUCCAAACCCAACCCCAACUUGAGGUAAAUGAUCUCAGAGCAAUUAAUGCUCUUUCAGCAGCAAACUGACUGGGACGGCUGGGCCAGGUGACAGUACAAGUCAGGGACGAGCCUCCACCUGACAACAAAUUCCGAUGAUGUAUGUAUAUUAGUCGUGGAUGAAGGCCAAGUCUUCAACUGCCACCCAGAACCACAGGUUCUCCGGGUUCCAUAGCACAAGGAACCCAGAGCUCCAAAUUUAAAGUCACAUAGAGAGGAGUUCCCGUUGUGGCGCAGUGGUUAAUGAAUCCAACUAGGAACCAUGAGGUUGCAGGUUCGGUCCCUGGCCUUGUUCAGUGGGUUAAGGAUCCCGCGUUACCGUGAGCUGUGGUGUAGGUCGCAGACACGGCUUGGAUCCCGCAUUGCUAUGGCUGUGGUAUAGACCGGUGGCUGCAGCUCCAUUGGACCCCUAGCCUGGGAACCUCCAUAUGCCACAGGAGCAGCCCUAGAAAAGGCAAAAAGACAAAAAAAUAAAAUAAAAUAGAAUAAAGUCACAUAGAGAGAGGGAGGAAACGAGUGUUUCAGAGGGAGAAGUGGGGAGGAAAGAGCAAAGUGUUUUCAAACAUGGGUCAUCAAUCAUAGGAUAAUUUCACUUCUACUGGAAGGCUAGAACAUACAUUUUAGGUCAAUCACUCAGUGCUUAUUCAGAUUAAAAAUAUAGAGACAUCUGCAGUUCCCAUUGUGGCUCAGUGGUUAACGAACCUGACUAGCAACCUGGCCUCGCUCAGUGGGUUAAGGAUCCGACGUCACUGUGAACUGCGGUGUAGGUCGCAGACGUGGCUCAGAUCUGGCAUUACUGUGGCUGUGGCAUAGCCUGAUGGCUACAGCUCCAAUUCGACCCCUAGCUUGGGAACCUCCAUAUGCCGUGGGUGUGGCCCUAAAAAAAACCCAAAAAAUAAAAACUAGGGACAUUUGUUCUGAUCAAUCUCAAGGCACAGGUUAAGGGGGGAGUUCCUAAGAUUUUAAUGGGAUUUGGAAGAGGAUUCUUUAGAAUUCAUUGAUCUUGCCACUUUAGGAAGAAGUCUUAUUUCCCUCUAUAAAAGGCAUUCUUUUCUUCUUUUGUUUCUUUUAAGGCUGCACCUGUAGCAUAUGGAAGUUCCCAGACUAGGGGUCGAAUUGGAGCUGCAGCUGCUUGCCUGCAUCACAGCCACCGCCAUGCAGGAUCUGAGCUGCAUCUGUGGCCUACACCAAAGCUUGAGGCAAUGCCAUGGAUAGAGGCCAGGGUUCAAACCUGCAUCCUCAUGGAUACUAGUCAGACUCUUAACCCGCUGAGCCUCAGUGGGAACUCAUAAAAUUCAUCUUUUAACACUUUUUUUGAGAAUUACCAAC